RNAcentral lists this ribosomal RNA (503 nucleotides) under uncultured bacterium. RNAcentral describes it as "partial 16S ribosomal RNA". It matches the Rfam family "Bacterial small subunit ribosomal RNA", at positions 30 to 523 of the family's 1533-position model. The record is from RNAcentral.
AUUGAACGCUGGCGGCAGGCUUAACACAUGCAAGUCGAGCGGGGUGAUGGUGCUUGCACUAUCACUUAGCGGCGGACGGGUGAGUAAUGCUUAGGAAUCUGCCUAUUAGUGGGGGACAACAUCUCGAAAGGGAUGCUAAUACCGCAUACGUCCUACGGGAGAAAGCAGGGGAUCACUUGUGACCUUGCGCUAAUAGAUGAGCCUAAGUCGGAUUAGCUAGUUGGUGGGGUAAAGGCCUACCAAGGCGACGAUCUGUAGCGGGUCUGAGAGGAUGGUCCGCCAAACUGGGACUGGGGAACGGCCCAGAAUCCUACGGGAGGCAGCAGUGGGGCAUAUUUGACAAUGGGGGGAACCCUGAUCCAGCCAUGCCGCGUGUGUGAAGAAGGCCUUAUGGUUGUAAAGCACUUUAAGCGAGGAGGAGGCUCUUUUGGUUAAUACCCAAGAUGAGUGGACGUUACUCGCAGAAUAAGCACCGGCUAACUCUGUGCCAGCCGCCGCCGUAA